GGGUAUCAGACAUUGAGGUAGGGUACUGGCAACAGUGCUCUGCUGAAAUAUUUUCACCCAUGUCUUUUGCGCACUUUUUGUUUCCUGGGCGAGUUUGCUCGCCACCAGGACCCCCAUAUGAACCUUUUUUGUUUUUGCACUCAGCGUCAGUACAAUAAUUUAAUCUAUUAAAACUUUCAACAACGGAUCUCUUGGUUCUGGCAUCGAUGAAGAACGCAGCGAAAUGCGAUACGUAGUGUGAAUUGCAGAAUUCAGUGAAUCAUCGAAUCUUUGAACGCACAUUGCGCCCUUUGGUAUUCCAAAGGGCAUGCCUGUUCGAGCGUCAUUUGUACCCUCAAGCUUUGCUUGGUGUUGGGCGUCUUAUUGUCUCUCCGUCUCGGGGAGACUCGCCUUAAAACAAUUGGCAGCCGGCCUACUGGUUUCGGAGCGCAGCACAAAUUUGCGCUUGCAAUCAGCCAAGGGCGGCAUCCAUGAAGCCUUUUUUCUCUCACAUUUUGACCUCGGAUCAGGUAGGGAUACCCGCUGAACUUAAGCAUAUCAA
Molecule: ribosomal RNA, 541 nt
Filed under: [Setosphaeria] turcica f. sp. zeae
Lineage: Eukaryota; Fungi; Ascomycota; Dothideomycetes; Pleosporales; Pleosporaceae
Description: eukaryotic LSU rRNA
Rfam family: 5.8S ribosomal RNA (bases 172-325)
Source: RNAcentral